CAGCAGCCGCGGUAAAACGAAGGGGGCUAGCGUUGUUCGGAAUUACUGGGCGUAAAGCGCACGUAGGCGGAUAUUUAAGUCAGGGGUGAAAUCCCGCAGCUCAACUGCGGAACUGCCUUUGAUACUGGGUAUCUUGAGUAUGGAAGAGGUUAGUGGAAUUGCGAGUGUAGAGGUGAAAUUCGUAGAUAUUCGCAGGAACACCAGUGGCGAAGGCGGCUAACUGGUCCAUAACUGACGCUGAGGUGCGAAAGCGUGGGGAGCAAACAGGAUUAGAUACCCGCGUAGUCCCUGUCUCUUAUAC
RNAcentral lists this ribosomal RNA (301 nucleotides) under uncultured bacterium. RNAcentral describes it as "partial 16S ribosomal RNA". It matches the Rfam family "Bacterial small subunit ribosomal RNA", at positions 509 to 807 of the family's 1533-position model. The record is from RNAcentral.